GACUACGCUGGCGGCGUGCCUAACACAUGCAAGUCGAACGAGUUGUUUAUAGUAGCAAUAUUGUGAACAGCAAGUGGCGAACGGGUGAGUAACACGUAGAUAAUCUGCCUUUCAGACGGGGACAACUCAGGGAAACUUGUGCCAAUACCCGAUGAGACUACGGGAGGGGACUUUCGUAGCCAAAGGUGGGGGCAACCUCACGCUGAAAGAUGAGUCUGCGUCCUAUCAGCUAGUUGGUGGGGUAAAAGCCUACCAAGGCGAAGACGGGUAGCCGGCCUGAGAGGGUGAACGGCCACACUGGGACUGAGACACGGCCCAGACUCCUACGGGAGGCAGCAGUGAGGAAUUUUCCGCAAUGGGCGCAAGCCUGACGGAGCGACGCCGCGUGAGGGAUGACGGCCUUCGGGUUGUAAACCUCUUUUAUUAGGGAAAAAGGCAAUCGUGCUAAUACCACGGUUGUUUGAUGUUACCUGUUGAAUAAGCCCCGGCUAACUACGUG
RNAcentral lists this ribosomal RNA (499 nucleotides) under uncultured bacterium. RNAcentral describes it as "bacterial SSU rRNA". It matches the Rfam family "Bacterial small subunit ribosomal RNA", at positions 33 to 507 of the family's 1533-position model. The record is from RNAcentral.